RNAcentral lists this ribosomal RNA (382 nucleotides) under Epipyxis pulchra. Its description in RNAcentral is "partial small subunit ribosomal RNA". It matches the Rfam family "Eukaryotic small subunit ribosomal RNA", at positions 30 to 432 of the family's 1831-position model. Lineage: Eukaryota; Chrysophyceae; Chromulinales; Dinobryaceae. The record is from RNAcentral.
GCUUGUCUCAAAGAUUAAGCCAUGCAUGUCUAAGUAUAAACAAAUUUAUAGUGAAACUGCGAAUGGCUCAUUAUAUCAGUUAUAGUUUAUUUGGCGAUAAAAACUACUUGGAUAACCGUAGUAAUUCUAGAGCUAAUACAUGCAUCAUCCCCCAUCUCGGGGUGUAUUUAUUAGAUGGAAACCAAUGCGGGGCAACCCGGUAUAUGGUGAUUCAUAAUAACUUUCGGAUCGAUUUAUCGAUGCAUCAUUCAAGUUUCUGCCCUAUCAGCUUUGGAUGGUAGGGUAUUGGCCUACCAUGGCUUUAACGGGUAACGGAGAAUUAGGGUUCGAUUCCGGAGAGGGAGCCUGAGAAAUGGCUACCACAUCCAAGGAAGGCAGCAGG